Molecule: long non-coding RNA, 549 nt
Organism: Sorex fumeus (smoky shrew)
Lineage: Eukaryota; Metazoa; Chordata; Mammalia; Eulipotyphla; Soricidae
Exons: 5
Source: RefSeq, a predicted model, not a curated record
CCGCCACGUGCUCGCAGUCAUGGCGGCUUGCGGGGGUCUCCGCGCGGCUCGUGCGGCCUCGGGCUUGUGGAGGGGUGACAUUGGCAGACAUUGGCGGUGAGGAGCAGACCUGCAGGUUUAAGGAGGAACCAAUAAUGGGCCUGGGAGAUAAAAGGUGGGUGCAGACUUCAGGGACUGCCAUGGGAGCGCUGUCAUCCUAAGACGCCAAAUGGGAAGCUCUUCACGCUGCACUCCCUGAGGGCCUGACCCUGUUCCUGGCAGAAGCAGCUGCUCCGGAAGAUGCAGGCGCACCGGUGGCCUGGACCCAGUGGGCACCACGUGCUGCACCGGUUACUCGGCUCCCAGACCAUCUCCCUCUGUCCUGACUGUCGUACCCCCAGGCCCGGCGACAGACUCCAGCGGCUCCAGAAAUGAGGUUGUGACCAAGGACGCUCAGAAUCCCAUCGCCGCAGCCCUGGGCUGGGCUAGUCCCAGACUCCCCAGAACUGUUGGCGACCUCUGAUGGCGGGGAACUGGCUGGGGGUUUUCUCUGAAACGCGAAUAAAUGGU